This 3255-nucleotide ribosomal RNA is filed under the name Triticum aestivum (bread wheat). Its description in RNAcentral is "partial small subunit ribosomal RNA". Lineage: Eukaryota; Viridiplantae; Streptophyta; Magnoliopsida; Poales; Poaceae. The record is from RNAcentral.
AUGGGCCCCUUAUCCAGAUUUCAUCCGCUCUCGGAGUUCGAUGAGGGUAAGAGGAGUUGCAGGCGAAGGCUUGCCGGACACAACCGACGGCGGAGGAAAACCCAGCCAACAGAUGUUGCUUCACAAUUGUUGCUUCCUGAAAACCAAGAAAAUGCAGCAAAUAGGACACAAGAUAUUGUCAAUCUGAUCACUGUUAUUGCACGCUUGCAAGGUGGUAAUGUUGGUAAACUACCCAGCAUCCCUCCGAUACCGGAUAAAGAUAAUCUGGUCCAAAUCAUAAGCAAAAUAAACUCAAUCAAUAAUGCAAACUCCCUGGCAAAGUCUCCUCCAUCAGAAGCCAUUGAUUUGAAUGCCUCGCAGGGGCAACAACAAGAUUCUUCUGUCCAAAAUGCAACAAAGGUGGUCGACAAGCAGACUGUGCCAUCAACCAUGGAUUUGCUAACAGUUCUAUCUGGUGCUCUUGGGACAUCAACCCCCGAGACCAAUACAUCUCAGUCCCAGGGGAGCAGUGAUAGCAGUGGUAAUAACAAGAGCAAGAGUCAUUCAACAGAGCCAGCAUGUGUUGUAAAUUCCCAUGAGAAAUCCAUUCGACCUUUUCCCGCAGCUGGUAUGUUAAGGAGUAGCAGCACCCAUGGAAGCCCACCUGAAGUAUAUAAGCAGCCAGACCGAGAUACCCAUCCGUACUUGUCGCUGCAAUUGUUUGGUAACAAUGAGGACAUUCCUGUGAAAAUGGACACUGCAAAUAAGUACUUGUCUUCCGAGAGCAGUAAUCCUAUGGACGAGAGGUCUCCUUCAUCCUCUCCACCUGUAACACACACAUUUUUCCCCACUCGUUCAGUAAAUGAAGGCAUCAGGCAUCCUCGUAUUGCUGACUAUGGAGAAGAUGGUGCAACAGUUGAGAACAGUACCACUCGGGCAUGGUGCGCGCCACCGCUUGAGCUUUUUAAGGAUUCAGAACGGCCAACGGAAAAUGGUUCACCACCAAACCCCACAUAUCAGUCAUGUUAUGCUUCAACAUCUGGUUCCGACCAUUCUCCAUCAACAUCAAAUUCAGAUGGACAGGAUCGUACUGGAAAGAUUAUAUUCAAGCUCUUUGGCAAGGAACCUGGCUCAAUCCCUGGGAACCUUCGUGACGAGGUUGUAAAUUGGCUGAAACACAGCCCCACUGAAAUGGAGGGUUACAUUCGCCCUGGUUGCCUUGUACUAUCCAUGUAUCUGUCAAUGCCAACUAUUGCAUGGGAUGAACUCCAAGAAAAUUUCCUCCAGCGAGUAAACUCGUUAGUUCAGGCUUCUGAUUUGGAUUUCUGGAGAAAAGGGAGGUUUUUAGUUCGAAGCGACAACCAGUUGGUGUCGUACAAAGAUGGAAUGACCCGCCUCUCAAAAUCAUGGAGAACAUGGAAUACCCCUGAGUUGACCCUUGUGACACCAAUUGCUGUUGUUGGUGGGAGAAAGACCUCCCUCGUUCUUAAGGGCCGUAAUCUAACGAUCCCGGGCACCCAGAUCCACUGCACCAGCGCGGGGAAGUAUAUAUCGAAAGAGGUACUGUGUUCAGCGUAUCCGGGUACUAUAUAUGAUGAUUCAGGAGUUGAGACCUUUGACUUACCGGGAGAACCAAGUCUUACUCUUGGGCGUUGCUUUAUUGAGGUUGAGAACAGGUUCAGAGGAAACAGCUUCCCUGUUAUUUUUGCGAAUAAAAGCAUCUGUCAGGAGUUAAGAAACCUUGAAGAUGAACUUGAAGAUUCGCGGUUUCCUGAUGUCUCUCCAGAUGAUCAGGUCCAUGAUGCUAGGCGGCUAAAGCCAAGGGAUCAAGUUCUGCAUUUUCUUAAUGAACUUGGCUGGCUCUUUCAGAAGGCCGCUGCAUGCACACCUUCCACCAAAUCAGAUGUUUCUCAUUCAGAGUUGAUUCAGUUCUCUACUGCACGGUUCAGACACCUUCUGUUGUUUUCUAAUGAGCGGGACUGGUGCUCCCUCACUAAAACACUACUCGAAAUUCUUACCAAGAGAAGUAUGGUUAGUGACGAGUUAUCACAUGAGACUCUGGAGAUGCUCUCCGAGAUUCAUCUUCUGAACAGGGCAGUGAAAAGGAAGAGUAGCCACAUGGUGCAUUUGCUUGUGCAGUUUGUUGUAAUUUGCCCUGACAAUUCCAAACUGUACCCUUUCCUUCCAAAUUAUCCCGGCCCUGGUGGUUUGACUCCAUUACAUCUAGCUGCAUCCAUUGAUGAUGCAGAGGAUAUAGUUGAUGCGUUGACAGAUGAUCCUCAACAGAUUGGUUUGAGCUGCUGGCACUCCGUGCUAGACGAUGAAGGGCUAUCUCCUGAAGUGUAUGCGACUUUCAGGAACAACGGCUCAUACAAUGAACUUGUCACGCGAAAGCUUAUGGACAGGAAGAAUAGCCAGGUUACCAUUGUGCUCAACAAAGGUGAAAUUCAUAUCGAUCAACCAGGGAAUGUUGGUGCGAAUAAUGCAUCUGGGAUCCAAGCAUUGGAAAUAAGAUCCUGCAACCAGUGCGCCAUUUUGGAGUCUGGCUUGCUAAGACGCCCUAUGCGUUCUCGAGGAUUGCUUGCUCGCCCCUACAUCCAUUCAAUGCUUGCCAUAGCAGCAGUGUGUGUCUGUGUCUGUGUAUUCAUGCGAGCUUUGCUGCGGUUUAAUUCUGGUAGGUCCUUCAAGUGGGAGAGGUUGGAUUUCGGUCCCACAUAGACAUUGGAGGAUGCCUUAUUACUUAGCCGCGUGAUGUUAUUAAGGAAAUACCUUACAGGAACCAGAGGGUGUGGAACCAGAUUGCUUUUAACCUUUCCAGUUUCCAUGGAGCUCUGCCCAUGGACAUGGAUGAUGAAAUGUAAUAUUUGCAUGGAUAAAACCUUGCCGGAAGUAAGUGUUGAUAUGUGGGGAUAAUCAGCAGCCAGCUUCUAAGGGCAGAGAGUCAAGAAAAGGGGGAUUGGAGAACCCUGCCAAAAGAUAAAACUUGGGCAGGGUUGGCACAUAGUAGUUUUGUGACGAGGGAGGAAGGUACCAGAGCUUGUCAAUGUCAAGAGCAAUAAGACAGAGGCAACAAUAGUUCUGUGCUUAAUCAUGCUUACUGUUUUGUCCUGUGUUUAGACGGUAGCAGGGGUAUAAAUGGUCGAUAGUGUCAGUAGCUAAAUAGGAAUGAGGCAGAUUUACAUGUGUAUCCGGAUCUAUUGGUUUAUUCGAUUACCAUCACAACUUUGGAGUGGAGUUCCCGUACUGUUUUGAUAGAAAGCCUGGGUAUCUUUUUUU